This 669-nucleotide long non-coding RNA is filed under the name Nicotiana benthamiana. RNAcentral's name for it is "long non-coding RNA (NBEN_LNC030583)". Lineage: Eukaryota; Viridiplantae; Streptophyta; Magnoliopsida; Solanales; Solanaceae. The record is from RNAcentral.
AGGCAAAAACCACAAAGAAGAUUGUGCUGAGGUUGCAAUGCCAAGGUUGCAAACAUGUUUCCCAGCACCCAAUCAAGAGGUGCAAGCACUUUGAAAUUGGUGGAGACAAGAAAGGAAAGGGAACCUCUCUUUUCUAGAUUGCCUAUGAAGUGUAAUCCACAGCUUUCUUUUUUGCCUUCGUUUAUGUUAUUUUGGAUUUAUGUUGGUUCUUGUGGGUUACUUUGUUUUCCAAUAGAUGAUUUUGUGUUUGUUAUUGGUUGAUCUCUGCACAGCAGUUGUGCUUGUGUUUAAUAUUCUGUAAGUUAAUCACUUUCUUUGGUUAUGCAGAGGUGCAAGCACUUUGAAAUUGGUGGAGACAAGAAAGGAAAGGGAACCUCUCUUUUCUAGAUUGCCUAUGAAGUGUAAUCCACAGCUUUCUUUUUUGCCUUCGUUUAUGUUAUUUUGGAUUUAUGUUGGUUCUUGUGGGUUACUUUGUUUUCCAAUAGAUGAUUUUGUUAUGGUAGUUAUAUGGAGAUGAAAUUUAUAUUUCAGGGUUUUAAAUUUAGUAUGGAUACUUUCUUUUGGUAAUUGAUGUUCAAGCAAUUGGGACAAAGUUCUGCUGUCUUAUUGUUUGAUAUAAUAGUCAUGUUUUCACAAGCGUUGCACACUUUUAAAACCUUAAGAAAAGAU